Molecule: long non-coding RNA, 389 nt
Organism: Cyprinus carpio (common carp)
Lineage: Eukaryota; Metazoa; Chordata; Actinopteri; Cypriniformes; Cyprinidae
Source: Ensembl
AAAUUUCGCACCCACUCAACGAGCUUACAUCCUCCCAGAACAGAAGUUUGGAGGGGAGCAUGAAAGAAACAGAAGUCAGGCGAUUUAUCAGAACUCCAGUGAUUUUGCAGCGUUGUUUUGACGAUCCAGAGAAACACUCAGAAGAACCUACAGAAGGAGUACUACCACCAAUGUCCAAAACAUUACAAAGAUUAAUUUACAAACAAGGCACAAUUCGACGUGGGAUUUUCAGAAAGACUAUAUUGGAUCCAACAGUAAUGUCACAACACACAAGUGUGAGUAACUGUUUUUAUUAUGUGGUCACUAUUGCUUUGUCUCUUCUUACAGAUCGCUUGAUAUGUACUGAGUAUUUAUGCGUUCAAACAUACACAACUGUUAGCCAAUCAUAG